GUUCACAACUCUUUUGAGUAUUCUAAUCUAUAGGACGCUAUAGGUGAGAGAGUUGUAGUAUAGGUGUAAGCGAGGUGCUUAGAUCUAGAUUACUUGUGGAUAUCCCCUGUCUAGCUGGAUCGUGUGGUAGGCCGCAUAGGUGACAGUUACGUUGGUCCUCUGUAGUCCACCUCUCGUUAGCAGGACGGGUAGGGUUUAUCGGCCUAAGGAUAAGCAUCCUUUGUGGUGUACUCUUAUCACGUGGUUCGUCCCAGACAUAGACAUACCCCUUUGAAGUAGAGAAACCAUAGUUAUCCUCUCUAUUCUGCUACCAUCGCCCAUAUACUAUAAUUGCUCUACUCUCUAUUCCCAUAUUAUCACUCACUGUUAUCUUACCUUUAAUAUUGUUCUUAUUCGAUUCUACCAUCUUUCCUAUUUACACUUAUUUACUUAUCUUGGUUAAGUUAGAGCGUAGAUCAGUUCUCCCGUUUCCGGGUAAAAGCUUCAACGGUAUCCGUGCGCUUGCGGAUUAUCUGUGUGCGUAUAAAUACCAUAGUACACUCUAGUGCCAUGCUGGGGAUGACAACCUAGUAUUCAAGUGGUGUUAGCAAGUGUCAACAAGCAUUUUUGGCGCCGUUGCCGGGGAAACGGUUGCUGAGUUGACUACGAACUAGCUUAAGCAUUUUCUAAAAAAAAUAAUAAAAAAAAAAUUCCUUUUAUCGUUUGCCUCAUCUCUGCUAAUCUUUCUUCUUAUCUAAUCCUUGAUCUCUGGUCUAUCAUGAAUUCAGACAUGUCUAUCUAUGAAUUUCAUAGACCUACGGGCACACAUCUCGAACCACCAAAAUCUUCAAAGCCUAUCAUAGCAUCUAGUUUUGAGAUAGACCCGGAAUACAUAGAAUUUGUUCAAAAACAAUCUUUCUCAGGAGAAGGUGAGGAAAACCCAUACACACACCUAAGAGAGUUUUAUCGAGUCUGUGACCUCCUUCGCAUAGAAGGCAUGUCUGAUGAGACCCUUAAAUGGAAGCUCUUUCCGUUCUCUUUAACGGGAAAAGCUAGACAUUGGUAUAAACUCAAAGUAGGGAGUGUUCAUGGAGAUUGGAAGGAGUUACAUAAUAGUUUUCUUUUAAAAUUUUUUCCAAUCUCUAAAGUGGCGGAACUUCGGCGUGAGAUUAUUUCUUUUAGACAACUGGAAGAAGAAUCUCUUGGUAAAUCAUGGGACCGCUUUAUUAACCUUACUCUCACUGGCCCAAAGCUUUCUAUUCCAGAAGAAGUUUUUCUAAUUCACUUUUUUGAGGGCCUUAGUAGGGAAGAUAAGCAAACCCUUCAUGCGGCCUCUGGAGGAUCUUUCCACCACCUAUCCGCUAGUGAAGCUUGGAAUUUGAUUGAUUUAAUGAGCGGAAAGUCUCCUAGCUUUUAUAUCCCUGAGAAAGAGACAGAACCAGUUCCUAGACAAGAAGAAGAAGUUUCGAUAGCCAGAUCACAACCACUUCAAUUCCAAACUUUAGCUAUCAAUCCUAAACCAUCAAUACCCCAAAAUUCUCCAAGGGAGGAAGGAAUUCCGACCUUAAAUCUUUCAGAUGCUGAUGGUUUAGACUUCUGGUUCCAUAAGAGACCUUCAAGCAGGGAUAAUUCAAAUCCUCGCAAUAAUGGUUCUCUUAGAGAAUGUCCUGGUUCCUGUUAUGAAGAAGUCGAGGAUGACAUAUCAAGUGAAGGAGAGCUAAGCCAUAUUGGAAAUUCUAACACCUCCCCUUUCCUGAUCACAAGUUCUAAAUGGCUAGAAUGUGUAGAAUGGAUGGAUAAGGAAGAAGCCUUAAUGGAUUCUAACUUUGGCUCAAUUUCAAAUGAUGAGUUCUUGACUCCCUUUGAAGAUGAGAUUCAUCCAACUACAGAAGAGGACAUAGGUGAGACCAAUCCAGGAGAAACUCCAAACAUUCAGAUUAGAGAUGAAGAUAACAUUAAUGAGCAUGGAAUUUAUUUCAUAGCCACUUCGUUUGCUCCAUGCUCAUAUGCAACAUCUUCCCAAUCUAUUGGUCUCUCCAACAUCACCACAUUUGAGAUCUCCAACCCCCUCUUCCUUUUUAUUUCUAAAAACUUUAAAAGGGCGGUUGUCGAUGCAUAUGUCUAUAAUAAAUAUUGCAGAUCUCGUUGAGUUGAUCUUGAUUUAGGUCAGCGUUGGAAGGGAAACCACUUCGCCGACAUAAAUUGAUGGUUUCCCAAGGACAAGCUUGGUGUCCUAAAAUAAGCACUGAUCAGAUCGUGACAUGAGUUUUUAAUUAUUUGCAACAUUACCUUGUGUGUUGAGCAUAUAAGGAUAAUUGUAAAAAUAUUCCUUCGGGUAUUCUUGUCACUAACCUUUCCAGGAUUGGAGCAAGAAGAUCGGAUGAAUGACAAGCAAGUACAAGGUAUGUCCAACCAAUCAUCAUGCAACACUGAAUUAAAUUCAUCCAAACUUGAAUUCUGCAGAAUUCAAGCUUGGGGGAGUACUUUACAUAAAAACAUCCUUUGCCAUGUUGCUAUGUUGGUUGUCCCUACAUUUAAGACAUGCUCAAUUUGUUAAAUACUAAUCACACUACUUCAUCUCCACUUGAGUAGAUCUCUAUAAAUGCUGUUAUGCUACCUUUGUCUAUUUACUAGUAAGUGUUAGUUUGGAUGUACUGCACAUACUUCUAUUGGCUUUUAAAUUAAGCAUGGUGCUUAGGUUAAAUAGCCUUCCUUAAUCUGAUCAGACAUGGAGUCUAGUUCGGUUAUUGAACUAAAAACUACUUGUGUAGACAUUGGUAUAUUUUUGUCGGACUAACCCCUGCAGAAAAACUUUCAAUAUCGAUUUGGGAAGUCCUGAGAUAAACUCACAUCAGAGACGAAGAGAGUGACACAUGAAGUUUAACAAUUUGCACAAGAAGGACAUAGCUCAUUCAUCAUAGAGAGAUGAUCCAUGGAGGGUGCCACAAACAUGAUGCACAACCGCUAAGAAAGGAAAGCUUCCACAAGGUGAUACUGUACCAUCACUCUUCAAGCAAGGUAACAUCUUAAGGUACUUAUCACUUUUAUAAGCUUCUCCUUGGUUAUGGCAUUCAUAUAAAUAAAAGAGACAAACAUGUAUGAUUUACAACUCUAGAUUAACCAACCCAACUGAUUCAACAUGUUUAGUCCUUUAAUCCUUGUUCUUAGUACUACCUCCAUGAUCCCACACUCCUAAUCAUAUGAGCUAAAAUGUUACACAUUCAAUCAUUGAGAGAUAUAAAGAAAAAGACAUAUACAUAGAUAGAUUAUCUUUCCAUAAGGUUGAGCGAUCUGAUCUGACAAAUGUUAUAAGUGCUACACUCAUGAACUUUUCAUCCAUCAACUUUGUCUUGCUCACUAUGUUUAGGGUUAGAGAAGAACAAAUACACUUUAGGUUCUGUUGGUGUUUUCCACCAACAGGACCCUGCACUUGAUCUCUGCCUUGUCUCUAUGAGCAGGUACACUUUGAGCAAAACACGGAGGAGUUUUAUAACUCUCAGACUCUACCAAGUGAAGGACCUGGAUCUACGAGCACAAACACACUGAGCAGGAUACUACCAACGCCGCACUUCGAACUGCUGGGCAAACAAAGAGGUGCAGACGUCAAGGUCCGUACCUGAAUCAAUUGACGCACCUGAAGAAUGAACACGGUGAGAAGUCUUGUUAAGAAGACUUAAAACAUUGAACCCUCGCCGGAAGGUAAGAUCGGUAGUUAUCCAUAUUUAUCCUUUCUGCAUUCCCUUUUCCCUUUAAUUAUUUACUUUCCUUAAAUAGAUUAUUAGUUAAUCAUGCUAUCUUGAAAAGAAAAUAAAAAUGUUAAAAAAUACUAAACCCCAUGUGAGUAUACGAGUGGCAUAAAACCCAUAAGUACCUUCACUGUGGUGGCAUAAAAAUAAAAUAAAUAUUUCUUUUCUGCUUUAUAAAAUAAAAAUAUAAAAACAGGGAGUAAUAUUUAUUGAGGAAGCUCAACAUGAUGAAGGCUAGAUAUUUAUGCUAACACUUAAUUAGUUCCACAAGCUUUGUUGUCUAUUUGAGCUCCACAGAAUUUAAGAAUCAAGAAGACUAGCAGACGGAGGACAUUCUAAUCGCUGUCAGAAUGCUGCUGACUUUCAAAUACACCUCUGCCACCUGCUAGCUACAUCAAGAGAAAUUACGUCAAAAUUCAGCUUGGGGGAGAGCACCCCCAUUUAUCUCGCUAAGUAUUUCUACCUAUCUUUAUACUUAUAUUAUAUUAGAAUAUUAAAAUACAUAAACUAUGAAAAACCAAAUAAAGAUUUUGUGCUUAUAUAUAUAUCUUUUGCUUAGUGUGUUUAAUAAAUAAAUAAAGUGGCUAUGCUAAUCUGAAUCUUAAUAAUAAAACUCUAGCAUGGAUAUGAUGAAUAGUUGCUCUGCCUAAUUUGCAAAUUUGAAGUUCUCUCUCAAGUUUAGACAUAACUGUUAUAAUUUAAAGCUUGCUCUAGAUCUAAACUUGUGGGAUGAAAACUUGAUCUGAAAUCUAAGUUGUUAACGAAUAUGAUAUGGGAAGGUUGAGCUGUUGUUUAUCUGUUCCUAGAGAUGCUAGAAUUCUGGAGAAUUUUAUCUUUGAAAAAUCUUUAAAAUAUUGCAUGAUGAGUUCGUGUAUGUUGAAAGUUUAAAUUCCUACCACAGCCAUAUAUACAUGCUUGCUAGACUUUGAGCCACACAUUUACUAUUUACUGCUUAUGAGCAUUGAGUGUGGUCAAGCUGUGUAGACCCUUAGGAGCUUGUCAUGUGGUUAAAUCAAGAUUUCACUUGCACAUUCACUCAUAUAUGCUACUUCUACUCCGGAAGUACCAUCCACAUAUAUACACCCAUGUCCAUCUCCAGAACCACCCAAAAAUAUUCUACUCCUAAUCCGGGAGAGAAUAGCCAAAAAUAUUUCUGUUUUCCCUUGUGAAAUAAAUGCUCAAGUUAUCUUGCUACUACCUCUUGCUAUAUCAUCUCAAGAGAUGAGUGCUCUGAAAAGAAAAAAAAUAAAAGAGAAGAAAAGAAAAAAAUAAUAAACGAGGAAAUAAAAAGGGGCAAGUGUCCGGAACCUCGAAAGAAAAAAAAGAGUGAGACGAGAGGUAAAAAUGGACAAGUGUCCGACAGUAGAAUUAGGGGUACAAGAUACCCACCUGAGAGGAAAGAAAAAAAUGAAAGAUAGAGCAUCUCAUUCUCCUCAUAAAGUUUCAAAAAGCAAGGAAGGUAUGUAUCCCCUCAAAAGAGCAAAAGUAGAAUUAGACUUUCACCAUGUUAUCACCAUCAUCACCAUACACCAUUCAUUCGCCACACAUGCACAUCUUGAUUUGGCUUAUUGAUUUGUUUCUUUGGAUCCAUAGUUUGACUAUACAAUAAAUGUCUUGUAAGUAUGUAUACUUUAUCUCCCACCUAUGAGCUCCAGAUAUUAAAGUUAUUAGAGUAGGGUGAGAGAGAAGGCAAUGUCACUAUGCCUUAUACCACAAAUACCACAUAUCUUGAGAGAAGGCAUAUACCAUCACUGCCUUGGUAAGGAUCCAGAAAUACCACAAAAGAGAGAUUUAGAGAGUCAUACAAGGAAUCUCUGAGUUUUAUUUGAAAAAUCUGCAAAAACUCCAGAGCUAUAGCUGAUCAAGAAUAAGAGACAUGGCACUUGGCUAGACUGUUCUAUCUUUUAACUACUCAAGACAGAAGUGACGGUUACAAGUCCCAUGGUGAAAGGUAAAGUAAGUAAGUUUUAGUUCUUGACAGUUUACUCUAACUCAGAGAUGAGAUCUUAUUUAAAAGCAUGUGUACCGUCAAAUUUUUAAGAUAUUGCAACAACUUCUGAUCCAUUGCUGAGUCUAUCCUUGCUCAGAGACGAGCAAGAGGUAAGCUUGGGGGAGUUUGUUGACGAUCCUUAAGUAUCAAAUUUAAUUAUCAAAUAAACAAAGAAAAGGAUUGAAAUGAAAUCAACAUCUAGACUUAGGGUUUUAUCUGACAGAAUUCCACGAGUUUUGGUGUUUGUCUAUUUCUGCAGGGGGUUAUCAGGAAAUACGGAAGAAAGGUCCACACGUCGGGAUUACAUAGUGAUAUCAAUGUGCCGCGCAAUUAUUUUACAUCUAGAAGACUCCAGAAGCCACGGGAAGGAAGCGGAGGCCGAACGGAACCAGGACCUGGGCGCCCGCCCAAGUCCUUAGGGCGCCCGCCCUGCUACAGUGGCCAAUCACAUUCAACCUCGUGGAUUAUGCUCCACCGACCUAAAGGAUCAAGAAUAACCGUUCAAUCAAUGUCGGUUUGAUCCGACGGCCCGGGUUCACUUGAGGGGACUAUAUAACCAGACCCCCUGGCCCCUGGAGGAGGCACCCCUUGAUCAUUAUUCAUUAUUCAUAGACAGAGCAAAAGCUAGGGUUUAGAGAUGAGAGCUCUCCUCUCUUCUCUAAACUAGAGUAGAUCUAGAUUGUAGCAAGAUGGAGAGCGAAGGAGGAUUAGAGGAGAGGCCGGCCUGUCGGUUCUUCCUCCGGUUGUACUUCGUCAUGAUCAAGCUCUAAUCAAGCUUACUCAUGGGAUGACUCUGGUAAUCUAUUUCUAAUUCAUUAUGCAAUUACUAAUUAUGUAUGUUCUGGUUCACAACUCUUUUAAGUGUUCUAAUCUAUAGGACGCUAUAGGUGAGAGUUGUAGUAUAGGUGCAAGCGAGGUGCUUAGAUCUAGAUUACUUGUGGAUAUCCCCUGUCUAGCUGGAUCGUGUGGUAGGCCGCGUAGGUGACAGUUACGUUGGUCCUCUGUAGUCCACCUCUCGUUAGCAGGACGGGUAGGGUUUAUUGGCCUAAGGAUAAGCAUCCUUUGUGGUGUACUCUUAUCACGUGGUUCGUCCCAGACAUAGACAUACCCCUUUGAAGUAGAGAAACCAUAGUUAUCCUCUCUAUUCUGCUACCAUCGCCCAUAUACUAUAAUUGCUCUACUCUCUAUUCCCAUAUUAUCACUCACUGUUAUCUUACCUUUAAUAUUGUUCUUAUUCGAUUCUACCAUCUUUCCUAUUUACACUUAUUUACUUAUCUUGGUUAAGUUAGAGCGUAGAUCAGUUCUCCCGUUUCCCUGUGGAUACGAUAAAACCUUUAAUCGGGUAAAAGCUUCAACGGUAUCCGUGCGCUUGCGGAUUAUCUGUGUGCGUAUAAAUACCAUAGUACACUCUAGUGCCAUGCUGGGGAUGACAACCUAGUAUUCAAGUGGUGUUAGCAAGUGUCAACACUAGCGGUACACAUGUAUGUUGAAUCAUCCUUUUCUUAUAAAUGUAUAUAAUCUUAUAUUAUUUUUGUUUUUGUAUUUCCCCAUUUUUUUGCCUUUUUUUAGGGUGUAAGGAAUAGAGCAACGCCUGCUAGACUAUUUAAAUUGUACAAGGAAAUGUCAGAGGCCCAACGGAAGCUUGUUAGUGAUGCUAGCUUGGAGGUUUGCUUGAGAUAGGAAGUGGUCGAUUGCCAUCUGCCCUAAGUAAAUGGCUUGUGAAGAAUGUGGAUGGUGAAUCAGAAGAGCUUGUAAUUCUUGGAAGAGGGAAGAUUAAAGUAAAUGCAGCUUCUGUGAACAGGAUACUAGGGUUACCUAUGGGUGAAGAUGAGGUUAAAUACAAAUUCAAUGGAAGUGCAAUUAGUUUCAUCAAUAAAAAGUGCAGCUUUGACAAUGGAAGGUCUCCUGCAAUUACAACAAUAAUAGAAAGGCUGUGCGCAAAUAAGGAAGCUAAUGAUGACUACCUCCAGUGUUGGCUCAUUGUUGCUAUCUCAACUUUUCUAUGUGGGAGCACAGUUUUGUGCAUCAGCCCAAAGUGCUAUCCUUCUUUGGUUGAUCUAUCAAAAGUUAAGCAAUUGAAUUGGUAUAAAUUUGUAGUAGAUACUCUCAAAGGAUCCAUGAGAAAGAUGCAUAAAAAGGAUUCUGUUUGAGGUUGUCUAUAUUUCCUCUCUGUGAGUGUCUUUUCUUUUUCCUUUUAAUCUCCUAUUCAUGUACUACAUUUUCCUUUUUUACAUGUUUUUUAUGCUACCUUACUUAUAUGCCUUUUUAGAUACUUUUCCUAGACUCUUUGGAGGUAGGAAACAUACAAGUCCUUGAAAAAUAGCCAAGAGUUGCAGCAUGGAACAUCAAACUUAUCAACAAGGUCAUAAAGAUGGAUACUAGCACAAAUGGCACAUUCAGGAAACUCAAGGUAUGACUUUUUGUAUUUUUCUGUGUCAUUUUUUAUAUGUACUAUGCAUUUGUGAAUUUACUCAAAUCUUUUUCUCCUUUUUCCUUUUUUUGUGUGACAGCUCAAGAAACUAGCUGGUUCAGUCACUGAGACCUCUUUAUUUGGGGAUUUCCAAGACAGAUAAUUUUAUUUCGUACAGGGCAUCUGAACCCAUGACUUCAAAUGUAUGCAAAUAAUAGAAUCAAGUAAAACUGUAAUUUCCUACUCCACAAUAGUCUUUUUUGUAUAUUAGGCAACCAAAUUGUAUCAUUUACGCAACAUUACGCCAAAUAAUAGUUGUAUGCAUUUUUUUAGAAACAUUAGUCUCUCUCUCAUAUGGAUCAACCUAUCCCUUUUUUCUCUCUGUCACCACUCCUGUGAGUUUUUGUAGGAAGGUGAUAAGAUGGCCUCUACUAUCCCAUUGAGCAAUGGAUCCAUCAGCACUCGCCCUAUAACCAAGCACCGGGCACAAUAGUUAGGCAACAGUUAGGAGAUGAGAUCAUGGUUUUUUGGGCUGUUAGUUUUUUUCAGUCAG
Molecule: long non-coding RNA, 8678 nt
Filed under: Sorghum bicolor (sorghum)
Lineage: Eukaryota; Viridiplantae; Streptophyta; Magnoliopsida; Poales; Poaceae
Description: long non-coding RNA (SBIC_LNC005225)
Source: RNAcentral